AGUGCCAGGCACAGAGCAGGGGCUCAGUCAAUGAAAAUGCAAUUCAAUUCCAACACAAUAAGCAUUCAUGGAGCACCUGCCAGGCACCCAGGUGUAGAGAUGCAAGGAGGGUGGCUCCUAACAGUCAGGAUGCCUACAUAUACAGAUAGCCAAUAGGGACGGAACGAGCACCAAUGUGGCCCUGUCAUUGGCUCAUUUACUCCUCAAGGCAUGGGUCCACCGUGCUCUGGGGAGAUACAGGUGGAUUAAAAUGCUCUCCAGGUUCUCUGAGAGACAUGACCGGGUACAUGUAAUGUACCACAUGGGCACAUGACACCUGUCAAACAGGCGUGGACAAGGUGGAUCCGGGGCUCAGAGGUCAGGGCUGCUGGACUGUGGAUCCUUUGUGAGGGACAAGGUUGAGGGUCAGAGGGGCUGGAUAAGGUGUGUUGUGUCUUUGAACUUGCUGGCCCUUUGGCCUGGCACACCUCUCCUUUCCCUCCUCCUCCUCAGCUGACACAUCCUCUGGUCGGUGGGCCCCCUCGGAAAGCCCACCUCCUCACCACCCUCUGCAUUUCCUCUCAAGCACGAGCAGGGUGUGCAGUGGAUGAGAAAGGCGGGGAAGGAGCUGGCACUCCUUGGACACCUGCUAUGCCACGCUCUGUGCGAGUCCACAGCGAGCGUUAUUUCGUGAAUUUUCCCAGUGCUCCACGGAGUCCACGUACUCCCCUGCCGGUGUUAUCACCCUCGUUUUGCGGGCUACAGAAAAGGCCCCAAGAGGGCAAACGCCUUUGCCCAAGGUCGCAGCUGGAAGUGAUGGAGCUGAACUUGGAAUCCAGAGCCAGCCGCCUCUCCACACCCUUGGCGCUUUCAGGGCUCGGGGAGAGGCCAAGCAGGCAGGAAAGGAAAUGGAAUGAGUCGUUUACUGCCCCGGGCAUUUUCAGCAACAACAGCACCACCUGCAGGAUCUGACGGGACAUGGGUCUGGAGCAGGUGGGCUCCUCUCUGCUGGAGGGGAUGGAUCCCGAAGGAGGGACCUGAGACAUGACCUUUCACCUUGAAAAGGAGCGAGCUGAGACUGAGAAAAGAACUUAACUCAAAGUCACAACGUCCGUGGUGGCAGAUUUGAAGCCGUUUCUCUUCUGACUCUCAGGUCAGUACCCCCUCCCUCCCACUACUCCUUUCUCUCUCUCAUUCAGUAAACAUUAAUGGAGCACUUAA
Long non-coding RNA from Phyllostomus discolor (pale spear-nosed bat), 1200 nucleotides. RefSeq lists it as uncharacterized. The record is from RefSeq and is a predicted model, not a curated record. NCBI's taxonomy places the organism in Eukaryota, Metazoa, Chordata, Mammalia, Chiroptera, Phyllostomidae. The transcript is spliced from 2 exons.